RNAcentral lists this ribosomal RNA (564 nucleotides) under Acinetobacter sp. RNAcentral describes it as "bacterial SSU rRNA". It matches the Rfam family "Bacterial small subunit ribosomal RNA", at positions 94 to 653 of the family's 1533-position model. Lineage: Bacteria; Pseudomonadati; Pseudomonadota; Gammaproteobacteria; Moraxellales; Moraxellaceae. The record is from RNAcentral.
AGCGGCGGACGGGUGAGUAAUGCUUAGGAAUCUGCCUAUUAGUGGGGGACAACAUCUCGAAAGGGAUGCUAAUACCGCAUACGUCCUACGGGAGAAAGCAGGGGAUCUUCGGACCUUGCGCUAAUAGAUGAGCCUAAGUCGGAUUAGCUAGUUGGUGGGGUAAAGGCCUACCAAGGCGACGAUCUGUAGCGGGUCUGAGAGGAUGAUCCGCCACACUGGGACUGAGACACGGCCCAGACUCCUACGGGAGGCAGCAGUGGGGAAUAUUGGACAAUGGGCGCAAGCCUGAUCCAGCCAUGCCGCGUGUGUGAAGAAGGCCUUAUGGUUGUAAAGCACUUUAAGCGAGGAGGAGGCUACUUUAGAUAAUACCUAGAGAUAGUGGACGUUACUCGCAGAAUAAGCACCGGCUAACUCUGUGCCAGCAGCCGCGGUAAUACAGAGGGUGCAAGCGUUAAUCGGAUUUACUGGGCGUAAAGCGCGCGUAGGCGGCUAAUUAAGUCAAAUGUGAAAUCCCCGAGCUUAACUUGGGAAUUGCAUUCGAUACUGGUUAGCUAGAGUGUGGGA